CAGUAGCCGCGGGAAUACGGAGGGUGCGAGCGUUAAUCGGAAUUACUGGGCGUAAAGCGUACGCAGGCGGUUUGUUAAGUCAGAUGUGAAAUCCCCGGGCUUAACCCGGGAACUGCAUUUGAAACUGGCAGGCUAGAGUCUCGUAGAGGGGGGUAGAGUUCCAGGUGUAGCGGUGAAAUGCGUAGAGAUCUGGAGGAAUACCGGUGGCGAAGGCGGCCCCCUGGACGAAGACUGACGCUCAGGUACGAAAGCGUGGGGAGCAAACAGGAUUAGAUACCCCAGUAGUCCCUGUCUCUUAUAC
This 301-nucleotide ribosomal RNA is filed under the name uncultured bacterium. RNAcentral's name for it is "partial 16S ribosomal RNA". It matches the Rfam family "Bacterial small subunit ribosomal RNA", at positions 509 to 807 of the family's 1533-position model. The record is from RNAcentral.